AAAUUGAAGAGUUUGAUCAUGGCUCAGAUUGAACGCUGGCGGCAGGCCUAACACAUGCAAGUCGAGCGGUAGCACAGAGAGCUUGCUCUCGGGUGACGAGCGGCGGACGGGUGAGUAAUGUCUGGGAAACUGCCUGAUGGAGGGGGAUAACUACUGGAAACGGUAGCUAAUACCGCAUAAUGUCGCAAGACCAAAGUGGGGGACCUUCGGGCCUCAUGCCAUCAGAUGUGCCCAGAUGGGAUUAGCUAGUAGGUGGGGUAACGGCUCACCUAGGCGACGAUCCCUAGCUGGUCUGAGAGGAUGACCAGCCACACUGGAACUGAGACACGGUCCAGACUCCUACGGGAGGCAGCAGUGGGGAAUAUUGCACAAUGGGCGCAAGCCUGAUGCAGCCAUGCCGCGUGUGUGAAGAAGGCCUUCGGGUUGUAAAGCACUUUCAGCGGGGAGGAAGGCGAUAAGGUUAAUAACCUUGUCGAUUGACGUUACCCGCAGAAGAAGCACCGGCUAACUCCGUGCCAGCAGCCGCGGUAAUACGGAGGGUGCAAGCGUUAAUCGGAAUUACUGGGCGUAAAGCGCACGCAGGCGGUCUGUCAAGUCGGAUGUGAAAUCCCCGGGCUCAACCUGGGAACUGCAUUCGAAACUGGCAGGCUAGAGUCUUGUAGAGGGGGGUAGAAUUCCAGGUGUAGCGGUGAAAUGCGUAGAGAUCUGGAGGAAUACCGGUGGCGAAGGCGGCCCCCUGGACAAAGACUGACGCUCAGGUGCGAAAGCGUGGGGAGCAAACAGGAUUAGAUACCCUGGUAGUCCACGCCGUAAACGAUGUCGAUUUGGAGGUUGUGCCCUUGAGGCGUGGCUUCCGGAGCUAACGCGUUAAAUCGACCGCCUGGGGAGUACGGCCGCAAGGUUAAAACUCAAAUGAAUUGACGGGGGCCCGCACAAGCGGUGGAGCAUGUGGUUUAAUUCGAUGCAACGCGAAGAACCUUACCUGGUCUUGACAUCCAC
This 999-nucleotide ribosomal RNA is filed under the name Escherichia coli. RNAcentral's name for it is "bacterial SSU rRNA". It matches the Rfam family "Bacterial small subunit ribosomal RNA", at positions 1 to 991 of the family's 1533-position model. Lineage: Bacteria; Pseudomonadati; Pseudomonadota; Gammaproteobacteria; Enterobacterales; Enterobacteriaceae. The record is from RNAcentral.